This 497-nucleotide ribosomal RNA is filed under the name uncultured bacterium. RNAcentral describes it as "partial 16S ribosomal RNA". It matches the Rfam family "Bacterial small subunit ribosomal RNA", at positions 28 to 507 of the family's 1533-position model. The record is from RNAcentral.
GAUGAACGCUGGCGGCGUGCCUAAUACAUGCAAGUCGAGCGAACAGACGAGGAGCUUGCUCCUCUGACGUUAGCGGCGGACGGGUGAGUAACACGUGGAUAACCUACCUAUAAGACUGGGAUAACUUCGGGAAACCGGAGCUAAUACCGGAUAAUAUAUUGAACCGCAUGGUUCAAUAGUGAAAGACGGUUUUGCUGUCACUUAUAGAUGGAUCCGCGCCGCAUUAGCUAGUUGGUAAGGUAACGGCUUACCAAGGCGACGAUGCGUAGCCGACCUGAGAGGAGGAUCGGCCACACUGGAACUGAGACACGGUCCAGACUCCUACGGGAGGCAGCAGUAGGGAAUCUUCCGCAAUGGGCGAAAGCCUGACGGAGCAACGCCGCGUGAGUGAUGAAGGUCUUCGGAUCGUAAAACUCUGUUAUUAGGGAAGAACAAAUGUGUAAGUAACUAUGCACGUCUUGACGGUACCUAAUCAGAAAGCCACGGCUAACUACGUG